This 439-nucleotide ribosomal RNA is filed under the name uncultured bacterium. Its description in RNAcentral is "partial 16S ribosomal RNA". It matches the Rfam family "Bacterial small subunit ribosomal RNA", at positions 338 to 795 of the family's 1533-position model. The record is from RNAcentral.
CCUACGGGCGGCAGCAGUGGGGAAUAUUGCACAAUGGGGGAAACCCUGAUGCAGCGACGCCGCGUGAGUGAAGAAGUAUCUCGUUCCGUAAAGUUCUGUCGCAGGGGACGAAAAUGACGGUACCUUGCAAGAAAGCUCCGGCUAACUACGUGCCAGCAGCCGCGUGAAUACGUAGGGGGCAAGCGUUGUCCGGAAUUACUGUGUGUAAAGGGAGCGUAGGCGGGAGGAUAAGUUGAAGGUGAAAUCUAGGGUCUCAAGCAAUAGCUGCGUUCAACACUGGUCUUCUUGAGUGAAGUAGAGGUAGGCGGAAUGCCUAGUGUAGCGGUGAAAGGCGUAGAUAUUAGGAGGAACACCGGUGGCGAAGGCGGCCUAUUGGGCUUUAACUGACGCUGAGGCUCGAAAGCGUGGGGAGCAAACAGGAUUAGAUACCCUAGUAGUC